This 286-nucleotide ribosomal RNA is filed under the name uncultured bacterium. RNAcentral describes it as "partial 16S ribosomal RNA". It matches the Rfam family "Bacterial small subunit ribosomal RNA", at positions 30 to 313 of the family's 1533-position model. The record is from RNAcentral.
AUUGAACGCUGGUGGCAGGCCUAACACAUGCAAGUCGGGCGGUAACAGGGAUAGCUUGCUAUCUGCUGACGAGCGGCGGACGGGUGAGUAAUGCAUAGGAAUCUGCCUGGUAGUGGGGGAUAGCCCAGAGAAAUUUGGAUUAAUACCGCAUACGCCCUACGGGGGAAAGCAGGGGAUCUUCGGACCUAGCGCUAUCAGAUGAGCCUAUGUCGGAUUAGCUUGUUGGUGAGGUAACGGCUCACCAAGGCGACGAUCCGUAGCUGGUCUGAGAGGAGAUCAGCCACAC